UACGAAGGUUGCAAGCGUUAAUCGGAAUUACUGGGCGUAAAGCGUGCGCAGGCGGUUGGUUAAGUCAGAUGUGAAAUCCCCGGGCUCAACCUGGGAACUGCAUUUGUGACUGCAAGGCUAGAGUACGGCAGAGGGGGAUGGAAUUCCGCGUGUAGCAGUGAAAUGCGUAGAUAUGCGGAGGAACACCAAUGGCGAAGGCAAUCCCCUGGGCCUGUACUGACGCUCAUGCACGAAAGCGUGGGGAGCAAACAGG
Molecule: ribosomal RNA, 253 nt
Filed under: uncultured bacterium
Lineage: Bacteria
Description: partial 16S ribosomal RNA
Rfam family: Bacterial small subunit ribosomal RNA
Source: RNAcentral